UCAUGGGAGCUCAAAAUGCCCCUCCUUUCCUCCACAGGACCAGAUGCCUGAGCUAGGAGAGGCCUCAUUCCUGUUGUGAUUCUGCCAUGGAUACCUGGCUCCUAUGCUGGGCAAUUUUUAGUCUCUUGAAAGCAGGACACACAGAACCUGAAGUCACCCAGACUCCCAGCCAUCAGGUCACACAGAUGGGACAGGAAGUGAUCUUGCGGUGUGUCCCCAUCUCUAAUCACUUAUACUUCUAUUGGUACAGACAAAUCUUGGGGCAGAAAGUCGAGUUUCUGGUUAUCUUUUUUAAUAAUAACAUCUCAGAGAAAUCUGAAAUAUUCGAUGAUCGAUUCUCAGUUGAAAGGCCUGAUGGAUCAAAUUUCACUCUGAAGAUCAAGUCCACAAAGCUGGAGGACUCAGCCAUGUACUUCUGUGCCAGCAGUGAACCCACAGCCUUGCAAAGACACCUCCAGCCUGUUCAAAAACCCUCAUAG
Rhinopithecus roxellana (golden snub-nosed monkey) is the source of this 479-nucleotide non-coding RNA. The record is from the annotation of a RefSeq genome assembly. Lineage: Eukaryota; Metazoa; Chordata; Mammalia; Primates; Cercopithecidae.